ACUGAAUAGAUACCCUGGUAGUCCACGCCGUAAACGAUGAGUGCUAAGUGUUAGAGGGUUUCCGCCCUUUAGUGCUGCAGCUAACGCAUUAAGCACUCCGCCUGGGGAGUACGGUCGCAAGACUGAAACUCAAAGGAAUUGACGGGGGCCCGCACAAGCGGUGGAGCAUGUGGUUUAAUUCGAAGCAACGCGAAGAACCUUACCAGGCCUUGACAUCCUCUGACAACUCUAGAGAUAGAGCGUUCCCCUUCGGGGGACAGAGUGACAGGUGGUGCAUGGUUGUCGUCAGCUCGUGUCGUGAGAUGUUGGGUUAAGUCCCGCAACGAGCGCAACCCUUGAUCUUAGUUGCCAGCAUUUAGUUGGGCACUCUAAGGUGACUGCCGGUGACAAACCGGAGGAAGGUGGGGAUGACGUCAAAUCAUCAUGCCCCUUAUGACCUGGGCUACACACGUGCUACAAUGGAUGGUACAAAGGGCUGCAAGACCGCGAGGUCAAGCCAAUCCCAUAAAACCAUUCUCAGUUCGGAUU
RNAcentral lists this ribosomal RNA (528 nucleotides) under uncultured bacterium. Its description in RNAcentral is "bacterial SSU rRNA". It matches the Rfam family "Bacterial small subunit ribosomal RNA", at positions 772 to 1299 of the family's 1533-position model. The record is from RNAcentral.